GAGUUUGAUCCUGGCUCAGGAUGAACGCCGGCGGUGUGCCUAAUACAUGCAAGUCGUACGCACUGGCCCAACUGAUUGAUGGUGCUUGCACCUGAUUGACGAUGGAUCACCAGUGAGUGGGCGGACGGGUGAGUAACACGUAGGUAACCUGCCCCGGAGCGGGGAUAACAUUUGGAAACAGAUGCUAAUACCGCAUAACAACAAAGGCCACAUGGCUUUUGUUUGAAAGAUGGCUUUGGCCAUCACUCUGGGAUGGACCUGCGGUGCAUUAGCUAGUUGGUAAGGUAACGGCUUACCAAGGCGAUGAUGCAUAGCCGAGUUGAGAGACUGAUCGGCCACAAUGGAACUGAGACACGGUCCAUACUCCUACGGGAGGCAGCAGUAGGGAAUCUUCCACAAUGGGCGCAAGCCUGAUGGAGCAACACCGCGUGAGUGAAGAAGGUUUCGGCUCGUAAAGCUCUGUUGUUGGAGAAGAACGUGCGUGAGAGU
This 489-nucleotide ribosomal RNA is filed under the name uncultured microorganism. RNAcentral describes it as "bacterial SSU rRNA". It matches the Rfam family "Bacterial small subunit ribosomal RNA", at positions 9 to 462 of the family's 1533-position model. The record is from RNAcentral.